This 495-nucleotide ribosomal RNA is filed under the name uncultured bacterium. Its description in RNAcentral is "partial 16S ribosomal RNA". It matches the Rfam family "Bacterial small subunit ribosomal RNA", at positions 28 to 507 of the family's 1533-position model. The record is from RNAcentral.
GACGAACGCUGGCGGCGUGCCUAAUACAUGCAAGUAGAACGCUGAAGGAGGAGCUUGCUUCUCCGGAUGAGUUGCGAACGGGUGAGUAACGCGUAGGUAAUCUGCCUGGUAGCGGGGGAUAACUAUUGGAAACGAUAGCUAAUACCGCAUAAGAGUAGAUGUCGCAUGACAUUUGCUUAAAAGGUGCAACUGCACCACUACCAGAUGGACCUGCGUUGUAUUAGCUAGUUGGUGAGGUAACGGCUCACCAAGGCAACGAUACAUAGCCGACCUGAGAGGGUGAUCGGCCACACUGGGACUGAGACACGGCCCAGACUCCUACGGGAGGCAGCAGUAGGGAAUCUUCGGCAAUGGACGGAAGUCUGACCGAGCAACGCCGCGUGAGUGAAGAAGGUUUUCGGAUCGUAAAGCUCUGUUGUAAGAGAAGAACGAGUGUGAGAGUGGAAAGUUCACACUGUGACGGUAGCUUACCAGAAAGGGGCGGCUAACUACGUG